Arabidopsis thaliana (thale cress) is the source of this 427-nucleotide long non-coding RNA. RefSeq annotates it as other RNA. The record is from RefSeq. Lineage: Eukaryota; Viridiplantae; Streptophyta; Magnoliopsida; Brassicales; Brassicaceae. The transcript has a single exon.
AAAUGAUCCUUUGAAUUUUUCACAUUGUUUUUCCUAUAUAUUCAUUUAUUGAUGUUUAAAUCAAUGAGAAUUCUAAAAUUAUACUUAUAAAUUUUCUUGAGAAGACAUGUCCCUCCUCUGAUUUUGUGAUAUCAUGUAAGUUGGGGAAAUAUUGAGGUGUAGUAGGAAGUUUUAAAAACAAUUGGUUUGAUCUACCGCAAAAAUUAAAAUGCAUUUGAUAUUUCUGAGUUUAUUUAUGGUGGCUUGUAAAUUUCUCAAUGACUCUUCCAACUGUUAAAUCACUCGAAACUUUACAACAUUUCCAAUCAAAUAAUAUUUUCGACAAGCGAUUCAAAUAAAAUUUCGUUUAUCAAAAAUUUGCAGAAACUAACCCUUUCUGACCGUUUAGUGUUCGAUCUUUUUUUUUUUUCGGCAAAGAGUGAUCGUC